UGUCUCUAGCCUUCUGAAGGCCACUCCCUGUGGCCUUCAGACAUCUGCUUGCUUUAAAAACUCCCAGCUUGGCAGACGACCAGGUUUGGCUGUGAUGCUGCUGCUCGGGCCAGAAUGUCAUACCCAGGCUAUCCCCCAACAGGCUACCCACCUUUCCCUGGAUAUCCUCCUGCAGGUCAGGAGUCAUCUUUUUCCCCUUCUGGUCAGUAUCCUUAUCCUAGUGGCUUUCCUCCAAUGAGAGGAGGUGCCUACCCCCAAGUGCCAAGUGGUGGCUAUCCAGGAGCUGGAGGCUACCCUGCGCCUGGAGGUUAUCCAGCCCCUGGAGGCUAUCCUGGUGCCCCACAGCCAUGGGAGCUCCACCCUAUCCUGGAGUUCCUCCAGGUCAUGGAUGUAGAGUCCCACCAGGUGGAGCAGACGUUUCUGGCUAUCCACAGCCACCUUCACAGUCUUAUGGAGGUGGUCCAGCACAGGUCCCACUACCUGGUGGCUUUCCUGGAGGAUAGAUGCCUUCUCAGUAUCCUGGAGGACAGCCUACUUACCCUAGUCAGCCUGCCACAAUGACUCAGGGCACUCAAGGAACUAUCCGACCAGGUGCCAACUUCGAUGCUAUGAGAGAUGCAGAAAUUCUCCAUAAGGCAAUGAAGGGUUUUGGGACAGACGAGCAGGCAGUUGUGGAUGUGGUGGCCAACCGUUCCAAUGAUCAGAGGCAAAACAUUAAAGCAGCAUUUAAGACCUCAUAUGGCAAGGAUUUAAUCAAAGAUCUCAAAUCAGAGUUAAGUGGAAAUAUGGAAGAACUGAUCCUGGCCAUAUUCAUGCCUCCUACAUAUUAUGAUGCCUGGAGCUUACGGAAAGCAAUGCAGGAACUCUGGAAUGUGUGUUGAUUGAAAUUUUGUGCACAAGAACAAAUCAGGAAAUCUGAGAAAUUGUCAGAUGUUAUCAGUCAGAAUUUGGAUGAGACCUUGAAAAGGACAUUAGGUCAGAUAUCUCAGGACAUUUUGAAUGCUUUCUUGUGUCCAUGUGCCAGGGAAAUCGUGAUGAAAACAGAGUGUAACCCACCAAAUGGCUCAGGAAGACGCUGAGCAUCUCUAUCAAGCUGGCGAGGGGAGAUUAGGGACUGAUGAAUCUUGCUUUAACAUGAUCCUUGCCACGAGAAGCUUUCCUCAGCUGUGAGCUACCAUGGAGGCUUAUUCCAGGAUGGCUAACUGAGAUUUGUUAAGCAGUGUGAGCCGUGAGUUUUCCGGAUUGUGGAAAGUGGUUUGAAGACCAUCUUGCAGUGUGCCCUGAGCUGCCCUGCCUUCUUUGCUGAGAGGCUCUACUACACUAUGAAAGGUGCUGGCACAGAUGACUCCACCCUGGUCAGGAUUGUGAUCACUCAAAGUGAGAUUGAUCUUGUACAAAUAAAACAAAUCUUCACUCAGAUAUAUCAGAAGACCCUGGUCACAAUGAUUGCAAAUGACAUGAGUGGAGAUUACCGAAGACUUCUUCUGGCUAUUGUGGGCCAGUAGGAGGGAUUUUUUUUUUUUUUUUUAACGAAUGAAGCUAUGCACAGCUUAUCCUUCAGAGCAAUGACCUGCAUGCAGCAAUAUCAACCAUCAGCUAACCAAAAGAGCUUUCUAUUAAGGACCAUAUCAGGGUAAUGUGCUUGGUUUGCACACGUUGUUAUUGCCUUAAUUCUAAUGUCACUUUGUUCUCUACAUAUAAUCAAUGUAAAGCCAUAUCACAAUGAUACGGUAAUAUUGCAAUGUUUGUAAAGCUUCAUUCUUACUAGUUUCAUUCUAAUCGAGAUGUCAAAUUGAAU
RNA transcript from Cebus imitator (Panamanian white-faced capuchin), 1798 nucleotides. It is a transcript of the gene named annexin A7-like, with no coding region annotated. The transcript has a single exon. The record is from RefSeq and is a predicted model, not a curated record. Lineage: Eukaryota; Metazoa; Chordata; Mammalia; Primates; Cebidae.